UUAAGCGACUAAGCGUACACGGUGGAUGCCCUGGCAGUCAGAGGCGAUGAAGGACGUGCUAAUCUGCGAUAAGCGUCGGUAAGGUGAUAUGAACCGUUAUAACCGGCGAUUUCCGAAUGGGGAAACCCAGUGUGAUUCGUCACACUAUCAUUAACUGAAUCCAUAGGUUAAUGAGGCGAACCGGGGGAACUGAAACAUCUAAGUACCCCGAGGAAAAGAAAUCAACCGAGAUUCCCCCAGUAGCGGCGAGCGAACGGGGAGCAGCCCAGAGCCUGAAUCAGUGUGUGUGUUAGUGGAAGCGUCUGGAAAGGCGCGCGAUACAGGGUGACAGCCCCGUACACAAAAAUGCACAUGCUGUGAGCUCGAUGAGUAGGGCGGGACACGUGGUAUCCUGUCUGAAUAUGGGGGGACCAUCCUCCAAGGCUAAAUACUCCUGACUGACCGAUAGUGAACCAGUACCGUGAGGGAAAGGCGAAAAGAACCCCGGCGAGGGGAGUGAAAAAGAACCUGAAACCGUGUACGUACAAGCAGUGGGAGCACGCUUAGGCGUGUGACUGCGUACCUUUUGUAUAAUGGGUCAGCGACUUAUAUUCUGUAGCAAGGUUAACCGAAUAGGGGAGCCGAAGGGAAACCGAGUCUUAACUGGGCGUUAAGUUGCAGGGUAUAGACCCGAAACCCGGUGAUCUAGCCAUGGGCAGGUUGAAGGUUGGGUAACACUAACUGGAGGACCGAACCGACUAAUGUUGAAAAAUUAGCGGAUGACUUGUGGCUGGGGGUGAAAGGCCAAUCAAACCGGGAGAUAGCUGGUUCUCCCCGAAAGCUAUUUAGGUAGCGCCUCGUGAAUUCAUCUCCGGGGGUAGAGCACUGUUUCGGCAAGGGGGUCAUCCCGACUUACCAACCCGAUGCAAACUGCGAAUACCGGAGAAUGUUAUCACGGGAGACACACGGCGGGUGCUAACGUCCGUCGUGAAGAGGGAAACAACCCAGACCGCCAGCUAAGGUCCCAAAGUCAUGGUUAAGUGGGAAACGAUGUGGGAAGGCCCAGACAGCCAGGAUGUUGGCUUAGAAGCAGCCAUCAUUUAAAGAAAGCGUAAUAGCUCACUGGUCGAGUCGGCCUGCGCGGAAGAUGUAACGGGGCUAAACCAUGCACCGAAGCUGCGGCAGCGACGCUGAUGCGUUGUUGGGUAGGGGAGCGUUCUGUAAGCCUGCGAAGGUGUGCUGUGAGGCAUGCUGGAGGUAUCAGAAGUGCGAAUGCUGACAUAAGUAACGAUAAAGCGGGUGAAAAGCCCGCUCGCCGGAAGACCAAGGGUUCCUGUCCAACGUUAAUCGGGGCAGGGUGAGUCGACCCCUAAGGCGAGGCCGAAAGGCGUAGUCGAUGGGAAACAGGUUAAUAUUCCUGUACUUGGUGUUACUGCGAAGGGGGGACGGAGAAGGCUAUGUUGGCCGGGCGACGGUUGUCCCGGUUUAAGCGUGUAGGCUGGUUUUCCAGGCAAAUCCGGAAAAUCAAGGCUGAGGCGUGAUGACGAGGCACUACGGUGCUGAAGCAACAAAUGCCCUGCUUCCAGGAAAAGCCUCUAAGCAUCAGGUAACAUCAAAUCGUACCCCAAACCGACACAGGUGGUCAGGUAGAGAAUACCAAGGCGCUUGAGAGAACUCGGGUGAAGGAACUAGGCAAAAUGGUGCCGUAACUUCGGGAGAAGGCACGCUGAUAUGUAGGUGAAGCGACUUGCUCGUGGAGCUGAAAUCAGUCGAAGAUACCAGCUGGCUGCAACUGUUUAUUAAAAACACAGCACUGUGCAAACACGAAAGUGGACGUAUACGGUGUGACGCCUGCCCGGUGCCGGAAGGUUAAUUGAUGGGGUUAGCGCAAGCGAAGCUCUUGAUCGAAGCCCCGGUAAACGGCGGCCGUAACUAUAACGGUCCUAAGGUAGCGAAAUUCCUUGUCGGGUAAGUUCCGACCUGCACGAAUGGCGUAAUGAUGGCCAGGCUGUCUCCACCCGAGACUCAGUGAAAUUGAACUCGCUGUGAAGAUGCAGUGUACCCGCGGCAAGACGGAAAGACCCCGUGAACCUUUACUAUAGCUUGACACUGAACAUUGAGCCUUGAUGUGUAGGAUAGGUGGGAGGCUUUGAAGUGUGGACGCCAGUCUGCAUGGAGCCGACCUUGAAAUACCACCCUUUAAUGUUUGAUGUUCUAACGUGGACCCGUAAUCCGGGUUGCGGACAGUGUCUGGUGGGUAGUUUGACUGGGGCGGUCUCCUCCUAAAGAGUAACGGAGGAGCACGAAGGUUGGCUAAUCCUGGUCGGACAUCAGGAGGUUAGUGCAAUGGCAUAAGCCAGCUUGACUGCGAGCGUGACGGCGCGAGCAGGUGCGAAAGCAGGUCAUAGUGAUCCGGUGGUUCUGAAUGGAAGGGCCAUCGCUCAACGGAUAAAAGGUACUCCGGGGAUAACAGGCUGAUACCGCCCAAGAGUUCAUAUCGACGGCGGUGUUUGGCACCUCGAUGUCGGCUCAUCACAUCCUGGGGCUGAAGUAGGUCCCAAGGGUAUGGCUGUUCGCCAUUUAAAGUGGUACGCGAGCUGGGUUUAGAACGUCGUGAGACAGUUCGGUCCCUAUCUGCCGUGGGCGCUGGAGAACUGAGGGGGGCUGCUCCUAGUACGAGAGGACCGGAGUGGACGCAUCACUGGUGUUCGGGUUGUCAUGCCAAUGGCACUGCCCGGUAGCUAAAUGCGGAAGAGAUAAGUGCUGAAAGCAUCUAAGCACGAAACUUGCCCCGAGAUGAGUUCUCCCUGACUCCUUGAGAGUCCUGAAGGAACGUUGAAGACGACGACGUUGAUAGGCCGGGUGUGUAAGCGCAGCGAUGCGUUGAGCUAACCGGUACUAAUGAACCGUGAGGCUUAACCUU
RNAcentral lists this ribosomal RNA (2902 nucleotides) under Escherichia coli KTE29. RNAcentral's name for it is "bacterial LSU rRNA". It matches the Rfam family "Bacterial large subunit ribosomal RNA". Lineage: Bacteria; Pseudomonadati; Pseudomonadota; Gammaproteobacteria; Enterobacterales; Enterobacteriaceae. The record is from RNAcentral.